Molecule: ribosomal RNA, 855 nt
Filed under: Lactococcus lactis subsp. lactis
Lineage: Bacteria; Bacillati; Bacillota; Bacilli; Lactobacillales; Streptococcaceae
Description: bacterial SSU rRNA
Rfam family: Bacterial small subunit ribosomal RNA
Source: RNAcentral
AAGAUCAUCCCGCGUUGUAUUAGCUAGUUGGUGAGGUAAAGGCUCACCAAGGCGAUGAUACAUAGCCGACCUGAGAGGGUGAUCGGCCACAUUGGGACUGAGACACGGCCCAAACUCCUACGGGAGGCAGCAGUAGGGAAUCUUCGGCAAUGGACGAAAGUCUGACCGAGCAACGCCGCGUGAGUGAAGAAGGUUUUCGGAUCGUAAAACUCUGUUGGUAGAGAAGAACGUUGGUGAGAGUGGAAAGCUCAUCAAGUGACGGUAACUACCCAGAAAGGGACGGCUAACUACGUGCCAGCAGCCGCGGUAAUACGUAGGUCCCGAGCGUUGUCCGGAUUUAUUGGGCGUAAAGCGAGCGCAGGUGGUUUAUUAAGUCUGGUGUAAAAGGCAGUGGCUCAACCAUUGUAUGCAUUGGAAACUGGUAGACUUGAGUGCAGGAGAGGAGAGUGGAAUUCCAUGUGUAGCGGUGAAAUGCGUAGAUAUAUGGAGGAACACCGGUGGCGAAAGCGGCUCUCUGGCCUGUAACUGACACUGAGGCUCGAAAGCGUGGGGAGCAAACAGGAUUAGAUACCCUGGUAGUCCACGCCGUAAACGAUGAGUGCUAGAUGUAGGGAGCUAUAAGUUCUCUGUAUCGCAGCUAACGCAAUAAGCACUCCGCCUGGGGAGUACGACCGCAAGGUUGAAACUCAAAGGAAUUGACGGGGGCCCGCACAAGCGGUGGAGCAUGUGGUUUAAUUCGAAGCAACGCGAGAACCUUACCAGGUCUUGACAUACUCGUGCUAUUCCUAGAGAUAGGAAGUUCCUUCGGGACACGGGAUACAGUGGUGCAUGGUUGUCGUCAGCUCGUGUCGUGAG